Molecule: ribosomal RNA, 464 nt
Filed under: uncultured bacterium
Lineage: Bacteria
Description: partial 16S ribosomal RNA
Rfam family: Bacterial small subunit ribosomal RNA
Source: RNAcentral
GACGAACGCUGGCGGCGUGCUUAACACAUGCAAGUCGAACGAUGAAGCCAGCUUGCUGGUGGAUUAGUGGCGAACGGGUGAGUAACACGUGGGUGAUCUGCCCCAAACUUUGGGAUAAGCCUGGGAAACUGGGUCUAAUACCGAAUAUGACCGAUACUCGCAUGGGUGUUGGUGGAAAGCUCCGGCGGUUUGGGAUGGGCCCGCGGCCUAUCAGCUUGUUGGUGGGGUAAUGGCCUACCAAGGCGACGACGGGUAGCCGGCCUGAGAGGGCGACCGGCCACACUCGGACUGAGACACGGCCCAGACUCCUACGGGAGGCAGCAGUGGGGAAUAUUGCACAAUGGGCGCAAGCCUGAUGCAGCGACGCCGCGUGAGGGAUGACGGCCUUCGGGUUGUAAACCUCUUUCACCAGGGACGAAGCGAAAGUGACGGUACCUGGAGAAGAAGCACCGGCCAACUACGUG